ACCAGGGGCGGUACCAAGGGCGGCAGCGACGGCGGUACCCACGGCGGUACCGGGGGCGGUACCGGGCGAGGAUCCAGGUGCCGGGCCGUGAGGUGAUUCAGGGGCGGGGCCGGGCCCGGCACAGGUGCGCGGGGUCUCAGUGCGGCUGCGCGGGCCGGGGCCUAUUUCUAUGCGGCCGAUCCGCUCCCGGCCCGUUCCGUUCGGGAACACUCGUGCUGGGAUGCGGCGGGAUCCUCGUCGGAGCGCUGUGCCAGGGACAGCUCCCGGUUCUGCGCGAAUCCUGGGGCGCUCAGGUCACAGGAUAUGCUGGGAUUGAGAGGGUUCCUAAAAUCCGACUCUCGAGGACACGGCCCGUGGGAGAAUUGAACUCACAACCUUGGCACUACCUGGACUGUGCUCCAACUGACUGAGCCCUCUGCAUCCCAGCUGCGGGGAACGGGGGGCAGGACGAGGCCAGGAGUCCCUGAAAGGCAUCCAGCACCUCUUGUCCUUGGGCCCUCGGGGCAGGGGCUGUGCCUGCAGUAUCCUGCCCCUGCCAAGCGCACGGCCCGUGAUGGGCGCUGGGUGCCCGGCCGGCGCUGGCACGGACACGGCUCAAGGGCUGCCCGUGGCUCCCGGGCCAGGGAGCAGGCUCCUGGAGAUGCUCCAGCCUGGAUACAGGCCACUGACAGCCCAAAAGCAGCCCAAGGAGCAGCUGGCGUGUCCUGGUGAUGGUGGCACGGGCUGCGUGCAGAGGGGCUCAGACAGCAAUUCCUGGUUCCAGCCUCCCAGAGCUCCCAGGCAGCUGCCAGCUAUUAAAUGCCAACCGACAGCCUGCAGAGAUGCCUUCAAAUCAAAGGUUCAGGUGGGAUGAAGUUUUGUUUGGACGAAGGUGGGAGUUUCCAGGGAGCCAGCUGGAAGUGCAGAAGGGAUGGAAAGCUUUCCCAGGUGCUGGACUUGCCUCUGUGGAUGUGCACUGAGCUCUCACUGCAGGGGACUGUCAGUUCUGACUGGCUCUUGAAGAAACUUGAAGAAGGAAUUUGGAUGCUGAGAAGAGCAUCAGUGUGUUCACUGGCAGCACGGGCUGGGAUGAGGGCUGAGCAGGACCCAAGCUGCAGCACUUCAACCAUUCAGCUUUCACCUCCUGUUUUAUCACGGCCUUUAUGAGACAGAUGUGAAUCGAUGAGUCCCAGGCCGAGCCGUGCCCGUGCCCUGUUCUGUCGGAGCUGGUGCUUUCCUGACAGGUUCAGCAGCCACGCUCUGUAAUAAAUACUCCUGGGUCUGCUGCUGUUCCUCUUCCAGCUUUAUAUUCAAUUUUCCACCCCUUCUCUCCUCUCUGUCCGCUGUGUCUUUUGUGUUCCUUUCUUGGCCUGUGUGCUCCCCAUCCCAUUCCCUUUCACUGCUUCACUUUCUCUUGUUCUUCUUUUUCUUUUUUGAAAUGAAUACUCAAAAUUUAUGUAAUAUCUCUUACUCAGUCCCUCUCCCUGUUCUGUCCUACUUUUUGCCUCUCUCUCUGUCUCACUUGCUGCCUGCAUCUUUAUUUCUCCUUUCUUCCUCUCCUUGUCCCUCAGUCCUGCACCGUGACUGUGUUUCUUUGUCCCUGUCACUGUCCCUUUGCCUGUACCUGUGUGCACCUGCUGCCCAGUGCUCCUCCCUGACCGUCCCCUCUCUUGGUGAGCCUCUGUCCUGCUGGCCGUGCCUCUCUGUCUCCGUCCCUGUGCUGCUCCUUGGCCGCGUUUGCCCGCCCCGGCACGUGCCGCGGUCGAUUCCUCUGCGGGUUCUUGUUUCCCUCUUUGUAUCCCUCAGUCCUCGCUGCGUGUUUGGCACCGUGUUUCAUUCUGCGUCCUUCUCCGUGCCUCGCUCGUGUUCCUGUUUUAUUCUGUGUGGCUCUGUGGAGCUCCCCGUGCCGGUGGUUCCCACAGGUGUGUCCCAUUUGCUGUCCCUGUUCUUUUUUAAUCCCUCUCUGUGUGCGGCCCAUUCACCAUCCCAGGUGUUUUUGGAUUUUUUUGUUUUUUUCCAUUUCAUCCUGCGCCUUGAUCUUAGUUUUCUUGCUGUGUCCUCUCUGCUGGUGCUUCCUCUUCUGCCCCUUGUUGCCUGUGUCUGCGGGGCUGAGAAGGAACUUCAGCCCUUCUGGGGGCUGUCCCCCACUUCCUUGCGUGAGCAGAGUCCCUUUUUGAGGGGAUGGACCGUGGGAAGGGUUCGAAUAAAGUGCCGUGCUCCUGCCCGAGGC
Long non-coding RNA from Oenanthe melanoleuca, 2209 nucleotides. RefSeq lists it as uncharacterized. The transcript has 6 exons. Lineage: Eukaryota; Metazoa; Chordata; Aves; Passeriformes; Muscicapidae. The record is from RefSeq and is a predicted model, not a curated record.